GAUCAAUGGAGAAUACUUGAAUGCAAAGUCACAAGGGCCAGUUGAGAUUCGAAAGUCUUCCCCAGCGGUCGCAGCACAGUUUCCUAUUCGCUAGAUCGUUGUGAUUUUCGCCAGUCUUGCCGGUAGCAAAACACGUCAGGUCAAGUGCAGGUGUACUCCUCUACAGGCGUCUACACCAACACAGAACUUUUGCCGUUAUUAGUGUUGUGUUGUUUUCGUUAUUAUUAUUUUUCUUUGUGCGUACGAGAUGGGAUUAAUAGAAACGCUGCGCUUUCGCGUUCUUCCCUAUUGGAAGACGUACGUGUUGGUCCUUUUGCCGUUGAUCCUUUUACCGUUACCGGUGAUCGGUCAAGGAAAGGAAGCACGAGCGGGCUAUGUAAUCAUCAUAAUGGCCGUUUUCUGGAUGACGGAAGCUCUGCCUUUGGCCAUCACCAGUCUGCUUCCGGUUGUCCUCUUCCCCUUACUAGGCAUCAUGGGCACCGGAAAAGUGUGCACGGCUUACAUGAAAGAAACGAACAUGAUGUUUAUCGGAGGCUUGAUGGUAGCUCUGACGAUCGAACACUGCAAUUUGCAUAAGAGGAUCGCCCUAAGAGUGCUGCUGUUGGUCGGCGCUAGUCCUAGAUGGUUGAUGCUAGGAUUCAUGUUAACGACUAUGUUUCUAUCCAUGUGGAUUUCCAAUACAGCUACGACUGCCAUGAUGGUUCCCAUCGUUGAAGCAGUCGUUCAAGAGCUUUUCAAGGAUGGCGAAGAAGAAAUGAAGAGAGAGCCGAACGUGCGUAUGGUUCCAGACGGGAUGUCGACGUGUUCUUCCAACAACACACUUGAGAUCGAUCUGGAUUCAUCCGAAAGUCAGAAUCUCGAGGCAGUUUCCAUUGAUUCCAUUGCCGAUGUGGGUAAAAGCUGCCAGGAGCUAACAGCAGCUUCCGCGGACCAAAGGUCCUAUAGUUGCACGACUCACGAAUACAAACAAACAAUUCGUACGUGUGUCCUUAUGUCCAUUGCUUACUCUUCGAACAUUGGAGGUACUGGGUCUCUUAUUGGAUCAAGUCCCCAAUUAGCUCUCAAAGGAAUUUUAGAUGAGUUGUAUGGAUCCGCUCCUGGUUUGAAUUUUGCUUCGUGGAUGGCCUUCAAUGUCCCAGGCAUGCUUAUCAACACGUUCCUGGCAUGGAUUUGGCUGCAGUGUCUCUUCCUCGGAUUCAAACGAACAACUGCUGAUGACAAUACGCAAGCUGCAGUCAUUAAGAAAUUGAUUCGUAGAAAAUACGAAGAAUUGGGACCUAUGACGUUCCACGAAUUGGCGACAUUGAUCUUAUUCAUUUUGUGCGUUGCACUCUGGUUUUUCCGUGACCCACAAUUCAUUACUGGAUGGGCCGAAUUCCUACCCGCGGUAGAAGUGGAUGAUGCCACUGCAGUGAUGACCAUCGUCCUGCUUCUUUUUAUCAUCCCCGCAAAACCGAGAUUUUGGAACCGUGACACAGCAGAGAGAAAUCGGGCUGGGCCCAGUCCUGCCCUUUUGGAAUGGAAAUUGGUGCAGGAUAGAUUACCAUGGGGAAUCGUUCUCCUAUUAGGUGGCGGCUUUGCCUUAUCUGACGCCUCUAAAGCAUCAGGUCUUUCUUCUUGGCUUGGAGAUCAAUUAGCUGUUUUGAGUUUCCUGCCUCCGUUCGCCAUCAUGUUGAUUAUCUGCAUCAUGACGGCCGCCGUUACAGAAGUGGCAUCUAACACAGCGACAGCAAACAUCCUUUUGCCGAUUCUCGCUGAAAUGGCAGUAACGAUUAAAGUUAACCCACUCUUCCUGAUGUUACCUGCUACUGUGACUUGUUCGUAUGCAUUUAUGCUACCAGUUGCCACUCCACCCAAUGCAAUUGUUUUCGCCGCCGGUAGAAUGAAUCCGACUGAUAUGGUGAAAGCGGGUUUACUAAUGAACAUAGUAUGCGUCGUUGUCAUUUGCGUGCUGAUGGCUAGCUUUGGUAGUUUCAUGUUCGGCUUCGACGAAUUCCCCGAUUGGGCUGUGCCGCAAGUGAAAAAUGCAACCAUGACAACAUUGUCACAAUUUUCGAACUGCACAUCUCCGUGAACGAAUUCGUCGUGAACAACGGGAACAUAGGGGAAAGAAGUGAUGUGGGUGAGCUUGAAUAUACUCUACGGUACUGGGAAUAACGCUUUGGCCAUGGAUAGGUAUAUAGACCAAAAAGGUUGAUAACCAUUUUUUUAGUGUACACGACAAUCAGUCAAUAUUUCAGCGCUUUAUUGCAUAAUCUUUGCUGUUUUGCUAUUAUCGUUAGUUAAAGCUUGCAAAAAUUUACAUUCAAACCUGUUUACCCAAAUACAUUGUUUUCUUUAAAGUU
This is an RNA transcript of Daphnia magna, 2345 nucleotides long. It is a transcript of the gene named solute carrier family 13 member 5, with no coding region annotated. The transcript has 17 exons. NCBI's taxonomy places the organism in Eukaryota, Metazoa, Arthropoda, Branchiopoda, Diplostraca, Daphniidae. The record is from RefSeq and is a predicted model, not a curated record.